Molecule: ribosomal RNA, 253 nt
Filed under: uncultured bacterium
Lineage: Bacteria
Description: partial 16S ribosomal RNA
Rfam family: Bacterial small subunit ribosomal RNA
Source: RNAcentral
GACGUAGGGCGCGAGCGUUGUCCGGAUUUAUUGGGCGUAAAGAGCUCGUAGGCGGCUUGUCGCGUCGUUCGUGAAAACCUGCAGCUCAACUGCAGGCUUGCGGUCGAUACGGGCAGGCUAGAGUUCGGUAGGGGAGACUGGAAUUCCUGGUGUAGCGGUGAAAUGCGCAGAUAUCAGGAGGAACACCAAUAGCGAAGGCAGCUCGCUGGGACGUUACUGACACUGAGGCGCGAAAGCGUGGGGAGCGAACAGG